GACGAACGCUGGCGGCGUGCUUAACACAUGCAAGUCGAACGGUGAAGCGGGUGCUUGCACUCGUGGAUCAGUGGCGAACGGGUGAGUAACACGUGGGUAACCUGCCCAUCACUCUGGGAUAAGCACUGGAAACGGUGUCUAAUACUGGAUACGACCAACCCUUGCAUGGGGUGUUGGUGGAAAGAUUUAUCGGUGAUGGAUGGACUCGCGGCCUAUCAGCUUGUUGGCGGGGUAAUGGCCCACCAAGGCGACGACGGGUAGCCGGCCUGAGAGGGUGACCGGCCCCACUGGGACUGAGACACGGCCCAGACUCCUACGGGAGGCAGCAGUGGGGAAUAUUGCACAAUGGGCGAAAGCCUGAUGCAGCGACGCCGCGUGAGGGAUGACGGCCUUCGGGUUGUAAACCUCUUUCAGCAGGGAAGAAGCGAAAGUGACGGUACCUGCAGAAGAAGCACCGGCUAACUACGUG
This 469-nucleotide ribosomal RNA is filed under the name uncultured bacterium. RNAcentral's name for it is "partial 16S ribosomal RNA". It matches the Rfam family "Bacterial small subunit ribosomal RNA", at positions 28 to 507 of the family's 1533-position model. The record is from RNAcentral.